AGAGUUUGAUCCUGGCUCAGGAUGAACGCUGGCGGCGUGCCUAAUACAUGCAAGUCGAGCGAACAGACGAGGAGCUUGCUCCUCUGACGUUAGCGGCGGACGGGUGAGUAACACGUGGAUAACCUACCUAUAAGACUGGGAUAACUUCGGGAAACCGGAGCUAAUACCGGAUAAUAUAUUGAACCGCAUGGUUCAAUAGUGAAAGACGGUUUUGCUGUCACUUAUAGAUGGAUCCGCGCCGCAUUAGCUAGUUGGUAAGGUAANGGCUUACCAAGGCANNGAUNCGUAGCCGACNUGAGAGNGUGNNCGGCCACACUGGAACUGAGACACGGUCCAGACUCCUACGGGAGGCAGCAGUAGGGAAUCUUCCACAAUGGGNGCAAGCCUGAUGGAGCAAUGCCGCGUGAGUGAAGAAGGACUUCGGAUCGUAAAACUCUGUUAUUAGGGAAGAACAAAUGUGUAAGUAACUAUGCACGUCUUGACGGUACCUAAUCAGAAAGCCACGGCUAACUACGUGCCAGCAGCCGCGGUAAUACGUAGGUGGCAAGCGUUAUCCGGAAUUAUUGGGCGUAAAGCGCGCGUAGGCGGUUUUUUAAGUCUGAUGUGAAAGCCCACGGCUCAACCGUGGAGGGUCAUUGGAAACUGGAAAACUUGAGUGCAGAAGAGGAAAGUGGAAUUCCAUGUGUAGCGGUGAAAUGCGCAGAGAUAUGGAGGAACACCAGUGGCGAAGGCGACUUUCUGGUCUGUAACUGACGCUGAUGUGCGAAAGCGUGGGGAUCAAACAGGAUUAGAUACCCUGGUAGUCCACGCCGUAAACGAUGAGUGCUAAGUGUUAGGGGGUUUCCGCCCCUUAGUGCUGCAGCUAACGCAUUAAGCACUCCGCCUGGGGAGUACGACCGCAAGGUUGAAACUCAAAGGAAUUGACGGGGACCCGCACAAGUGCGGUGGAGGUCGCUAGAUGGUC
This 964-nucleotide ribosomal RNA is filed under the name insect metagenome. RNAcentral's name for it is "bacterial SSU rRNA". It matches the Rfam family "Bacterial small subunit ribosomal RNA", at positions 8 to 954 of the family's 1533-position model. The record is from RNAcentral.